This 680-nucleotide ribosomal RNA is filed under the name Weissella cibaria. RNAcentral describes it as "bacterial SSU rRNA". It matches the Rfam family "Bacterial small subunit ribosomal RNA", at positions 82 to 749 of the family's 1533-position model. Lineage: Bacteria; Bacillati; Bacillota; Bacilli; Lactobacillales; Lactobacillaceae. The record is from RNAcentral.
GACAUUGCAAAGAGUGGCGAACGGGUGAGUAACACGUGGGAAACCUACCUCUUAGCAGGGGAUAACAUUUGGAAACAGAUGCUAAUACCGUAUAACAAUAGCAACCGCAUGGUUGCUACUUAAAAGAUGGUUCUGCUAUCACUAAGAGAUGGUCCCGCGGUGCAUUAGUUAGUUGGUGAGGUAAUGGCUCACCAAGACGAUGAUGCAUAGCCGAGUUGAGAGACUGAUCGGCCACAAUGGGACUGAGACACGGCCCAUACUCCUACGGGAGGCAGCAGUAGGGAAUCUUCCACAAUGGGCGAAAGCCUGAUGGAGCAACGCCGCGUGUGUGAUGAAGGGUUUCGGCUCGUAAAACACUGUUGUAAGAGAAGAAUGACAUUGAGAGUAACUGUUCAAUGUGUGACGGUAUCUUACCAGAAAGGAACGGCUAAAUACGUGCCAGCAGCCGCGGUAAUACGUAUGUUCCAAGCGUUAUCCGGAUUUAUUGGGCGUAAAGCGAGCGCAGACGGUUAUUUAAGUCUGAAGUGAAAGCCCUCAGCUCAACUGAGGAAUUGCUUUGGAAACUGGAUGACUUGAGUGCAGUAGAGGAAAGUGGAACUCCAUGUGUAGCGGUGAAAUGCGUAGAUAUAUGGAAGAACACCAGUGGCGAAGGCGGCUUUCUGGACUGUAACUGACGUUGA